This 497-nucleotide ribosomal RNA is filed under the name uncultured bacterium. RNAcentral's name for it is "partial 16S ribosomal RNA". It matches the Rfam family "Bacterial small subunit ribosomal RNA", at positions 28 to 507 of the family's 1533-position model. The record is from RNAcentral.
GAUGAACGCUGGCGGCGUGCCUAAUACAUGCAAGUCGAGCGAACAGACGAGGAGCUUGCUCCUCUGACGUUAGUGGCGGACGGGUGAGUAACACGUGGAUAACCUACCUAUAAGACUGGGAUAACUUCGGGAAACCGGAGCUAAUACCGGAUAAUAUAUUGAACCGCAUGGUUCAAUAGUGAAAGACGGUUUUGCUGUCACUUAUAGAUGGAUCCGCGCCGCAUUAGCUAGUUGGUAAGGUAACGGCUUACCAAGGCGACGAUGCGUAGCCGACCUGAGAGGGUGAUCGGCCACACUGGAACUGAGACACGGUCCAGACUCCUACGGGAGGCAGCAGUAGGGAAUCUUCCGCAAUGGGCGAAAGCCUGACGGAGCAACGCCGCGUGAGUGAUGAAGGUCUUCGGAUCGUAAAACUCUGUUAUUAGGGAAGAACAAAUGUGUAAGUAACUAUGUACGUCUUGACGGUACCUAAUCAGAAAGCCACGGCUAACUACGUG